This 253-nucleotide ribosomal RNA is filed under the name uncultured bacterium. Its description in RNAcentral is "partial 16S ribosomal RNA". It matches the Rfam family "Bacterial small subunit ribosomal RNA", at positions 524 to 776 of the family's 1533-position model. The record is from RNAcentral.
UACGUAGGUGGCUAGCGUUGUCCGGAUUUACUGGGCGUAAAGAGCGCGCAGGCGGUCGUUCAAGUCGAGUGUGAAAGCCCCCGGCUCAACUGGGGAGGGUCACUCGGUACUGAUCGACUUGAAGGCGGGAGAGGGAAGCGGAAUUCCCGGUGUAGUGGUGAAAUUCGUAGAUAUUGGGAAGAACACCGGUGGCGAAGGCGGCGCUCUGGACCGAGACUGACGCUGAGGCGCGAAAGCGUGGGGAGCAAACAGG